Molecule: non-coding RNA, 311 nt
Organism: Momordica charantia (bitter melon)
Lineage: Eukaryota; Viridiplantae; Streptophyta; Magnoliopsida; Cucurbitales; Cucurbitaceae
Source: RefSeq, a predicted model, not a curated record
UAAUUCCCAAGCAAGAGACAGGCUCAGGCUAGCUAGCUAGGUCUCUCUAYUCAGUUAGAGAGAGAAAGAAAAAGAAAACAAGGGGAAGAGAGAGAGAGAGGCAUGGAAUAUGGAGGAGGAGGAGGAGAUGGGUUCCAUAGCUACAGAAGGCAGCAGCCAAACACAAAACCAAGCUCUGCUUUGAACAUGUUGCUGACCACAAACAAGCCAUCCGCCAACAACCACCACCACCACUUAAACGGCCAAAACGCCACCACCACCACCAACUCCUCYGCUGCUGCCGCCCCGACCCUGGCCCCGGCCGCUGCUGC